UAGAGAUACAAUCUUGAGGCAUAAUUACACAUAUCUCAAAUUUGUGAUUUGAAGGCUGAAGAACACAGUUGGCCACAAGGUAUUCAAGCUUUGAAGAGGAGAUUGAUGAUCCAUUAUUGAAAAUUGGGCAUCAAGGAACAACAAUGGAUAGAAUUCUUUUAUUGAGUCUUUGUAUAAAACCCGGUGGUGUCUUUCAUCUUUGGAUGAACGAUGUAAUCUAGG
Molecule: long non-coding RNA, 222 nt
Filed under: Olea europaea subsp. europaea
Lineage: Eukaryota; Viridiplantae; Streptophyta; Magnoliopsida; Lamiales; Oleaceae
Source: RNAcentral